UACGUAGGGGGCAAGCGUUGUCCGGAAUCAUUGGGCGUAAAGCGCGCGUAGGCGGCCCGGUAAGUCCGUUGUGAAAGUCGAAGGCUCAACCUUCGAAAGCCGAUGGAUACUGCCGGGCUAGAGUACGGAAGAGGCGAGUGGAAUUCCUGGUGUAGCGGUGGAAUGCGCAGAUAUCAGGAGGAACACCAAUAGCGAAGGCAGCUCGCUGGGACGUUACUGACGCUGAGGCGCGAAAGCGUGGGGAGCGAACAGG
RNAcentral lists this ribosomal RNA (253 nucleotides) under uncultured bacterium. RNAcentral's name for it is "partial 16S ribosomal RNA". It matches the Rfam family "Bacterial small subunit ribosomal RNA", at positions 524 to 776 of the family's 1533-position model. The record is from RNAcentral.